AGCCAGCUUGCUUGGUGGAUCAGUGGCGAACGGGUGAGUAACACGUGAGCAACCUGCCCUGGACUCUGGGAUAAGCGCUGGAAACGGCGUCUAAUACUGGAUAUGAGCCUCUUCCGCAUGGUGGGGGUUGGAAAGAUUUUUUGGUCUGGGAUGGGCUCGCGGCCUAUCAGCUUGUUGGUGAGGUAAUGGCUCACCAAGGCGUCGACGGGUAGCCGGCCUGAGAGGGUGACCGGCCACACUGGGACUGAGACACGGCCCAGACUCCUACGGGAGGCAGCAGUGGGGAAUAUUGCACAAUGGGCGAAAGCCUGAUGCAGCAACGCCGCGUGAGGGAUGACGGCCUUCGGGUUGUAAACCUCUUUUAGCAGGGAAGAAGCGAAAGUGACGGUACCUGCAGAAAAAGCGCCGGCUAACUACGUGCCAGCAGCCGCGGUAAUACGUAGGGCGCAAGCGUUAUCCGGAAUUAUUGGGCGUAAAGAGCUCGUAGGCGGUUUGUCGCGUCUGCUGUGAAAUCCCGAGGCUCAACCUCGGGCCUGCAGUGGGUACGGGCAGACUAGAGUGCGGUAGGGGAGAUUGGAAUUCCUGGUGUAGCGGUGGAAUGCGCAGAUAUCAGGAGGAACACCGAUGGCGAAGGCAGAUCUCUGGGCCGUAACUGACGCUGAGGAGCGAAAGGGUGGGGAGCAAACAGGCUUAGAUACCCUGGUAGUCCACCCCGUAAACGUUGGGAACUAGUUGUGGGGACCAUUCCACGGUUUCCGUGACGCAGCUAACGCAUUAAGUUCCCCGCCUGGGGAGUACGGCCGCAAGGCUAAAACUCAAAGGAAUUGACGGGGACCCGCACAAGCGGCGGAGCAUGCGGAUUAAUUCGAUGCAACGCGAAGAACCUUACCAAGGCUUGACAUACACCAGAACGGGCCAGAAAUGGUCAACUCUUUUGGACACUGGUGAACAGGUGGUGCAUGGUUGUCGUCAGCUCGUGUCGUGAGAUGUUGGGGUUAAGUCCCGGCACCGAGCGCAACCCUUCGUUCUAUGUUGCCAGCACGUAAUGGUGGGGAACUCAUGGGGAUACUGGCCGGGGUCAACU
This 1084-nucleotide ribosomal RNA is filed under the name Microbacterium sp. MR11. RNAcentral describes it as "bacterial SSU rRNA". It matches the Rfam family "Bacterial small subunit ribosomal RNA", at positions 73 to 1163 of the family's 1533-position model. Lineage: Bacteria; Bacillati; Actinomycetota; Actinomycetes; Micrococcales; Microbacteriaceae. The record is from RNAcentral.